ACACAUGCAAGUCGAGGGGCAGCAUAAUGGAUAGCAAUAUCUAUGGUGGCGACCGGCGCACGGGUGCGUAACGCGUAUGCAACCUACCCUUAACAGGGGGAUAACACUGAGAAAUUGGUACUAAUACCCCAUAAUAUCAUAGAAGGCAUCUUUUAUGGUUGAAAAUUCCGAUGGCUAGAGAUGGGCAUGCGUUGUAUUAGCUAGUUGGUGGGGUAACGGCUCACCAAGGCGACGAUACAUAGGGGGACUGAGAGGUUAACCCCCCACACUGGUACUGAGACACGGACCAGACUCCUACGGAAGGCAGCAGUGAGGAAUAUUGGUCAAUGGACGCAAGUCUGAACCAGCCAUGCCGCGUGCAGGAUGACGGCUCUAUGAGUUGUAAACUGCUUUUGUACGAGGGUAAACGCAGAUACGUGUAUCUGUCUGAAAGUAUCGUACGAAUAAGGAUCGGCUAACUCCGUGCCAGCAGCCGCGGUAAUACGGAGGAUUCAAGCGUUAUCCGGAUUUAUUGGGUUUAAAGGGUGCGUAGGCGGUUUGAUAAGUUAGAGGUGAAAUUUCGGGGCUCAACCCUGAACGUGCCUCUAAUACUGUUGAGCUAGAGAGUAGUUGCGGUAGGCGGAAUGUAUGGUGUAGCGGUGAAAUGCUUAGAGAUCAUACAGAACACCGAUUGCGAAGGCAGCUUACCAAACUAUAUCUGACGUUAAGGCACGAAAGCGUGGGGAGCAAACAGGAUUAGAUACCCUGGUAGUCCACGCAGUAAACGAUGAUAACUCGUUGUCGGCGAUACACAGUCGGUGACUAAGCGAAAGCGAUAAGUUAUCCACCUGGGGAGUACGUUCGCAAGAAUGAAACUCAAAGGAAUUGACGGGGGCCCGCACAAGCGGAGGAACAUGUGGUUUAAUUCGAUGAUACGCGAGGAACCUUACCCGGG
RNAcentral lists this ribosomal RNA (934 nucleotides) under uncultured bacterium. RNAcentral's name for it is "bacterial SSU rRNA". It matches the Rfam family "Bacterial small subunit ribosomal RNA", at positions 51 to 979 of the family's 1533-position model. The record is from RNAcentral.